AAAGAGCAUGAUGAAUGUUUUUAGUAUAAUGGUGUAAAUCCUUUUGAUUUGUUGCAUGAAAGACAUGUGGGAUCAUGUAGGAGAAAAAAAGGAUGGAGAAAAAUCUAGAACAGGUAAUUUUGAAAACAGAUUUAAUGUCAUGUUCAGUCCAGAUAGAUAAGAAGUUCCCUUCCCCAAAUAAAUCAGCGGGGGGCUCUUUACAUAUGAGUGAUUAUGAAUCCCUUUUACUUUUCAGUGUCUUCUGAGAAACCAUCAGGCUUGAAGGUAAUGAAACUGUCAUUUAUAUUGUGAACUAGUAAAUGUAUAGUCUAUGAAACAUACUUUAUUAAUUUAUUAUUUCAUUUCAAAUUCCAUUCAGGCUACAAGUGACGAGAAAGAUUCUGUUUUGAAUAUAGCCAGAGGAAAAAAGCAUGGAGAAAAAACUAGGAGAGGUAAUUUU
RNAcentral lists this long non-coding RNA (439 nucleotides) under Homo sapiens (human). RNAcentral's name for it is "non-protein coding lnc-GPAT2-5:1". Lineage: Eukaryota; Metazoa; Chordata; Mammalia; Primates; Hominidae. The record is from RNAcentral.